This 434-nucleotide ribosomal RNA is filed under the name uncultured bacterium. RNAcentral's name for it is "partial 16S ribosomal RNA". It matches the Rfam family "Bacterial small subunit ribosomal RNA", at positions 29 to 506 of the family's 1533-position model. The record is from RNAcentral.
AACGAACGCUGGCGGCAGGCUUAACACAUGCAAGUCGAACGCGUGCAGCAAUGCACGAGUGGCGCACGGGUGCGUAACGCGUGGAUAUCUGCCUUUUGGUUCGGAAUAACCCCGGGAAACUGGGGCUAAUACCGGAUGGUUCCUACGGGAUAAAGAUUUAUCGCCAAAAGAUGAGUCCGCGUCCGAUUAGCUAGUUGGUGAGGUAAUGGCUCACCAAGGCGACGAUCGGUAGCUGGUCUGAGAGGACGAUCAGCCACACUGGGACUGAGACACGGCCCAGACUCCUACGGGAGGCAGCAGUGGGGAAUAUUGGACAAUGGGGGCAACCCUGAUCCAGCCAUGCCGCGUGAGUGAUGAAGGCCUUCGGGUUGUAAAGCUCUUUUGGCGGGGACGAUGAUGACGGUACCCGCAGAAUAAGCCCCGGCUAACUUCGU